This 497-nucleotide ribosomal RNA is filed under the name uncultured bacterium. Its description in RNAcentral is "partial 16S ribosomal RNA". It matches the Rfam family "Bacterial small subunit ribosomal RNA", at positions 28 to 507 of the family's 1533-position model. The record is from RNAcentral.
GAUGAACGCUGGCGGCGUGCCUAAUACAUGCAAGUCGAGCGAACGGACGAGAAGCUUGCUUCUCUGAUGUUAGCGGCGGACGGGUGAGUAACACGUGGAUAACCUACCUAUAAGACUGGGAUAACUUCGGGAAACCGGAGCUAAUACCGGAUAAUAUUUUGAACCGCAUGGUUCAAAAGUGAAAGACGGUCUUGCUGUCACUUAUAGAUGGAUCCGCGCUGCAUUAGCUAGUUGGUAAGGUAACGGCUUACCAAGGCAACGAUGCAUAGCCGACCUGAGAGGGUGGUCGGCCACACUGGAACUGAGACACGGUCCAGACUCCUACGGGAGGCAGCAGUAGGGAAUCUUACGCAAUGGGCGAAAGCCUGACGGAGCAACGCCGCGUGAGUGAUGAAGGUCUUCGGAUCGUAAAGCUCUGUUAUUAGGGAAGAACAUAUGUGUAAGUAACUGUGCACAUCUUGACGGUACCUAAUCAGAAAGCCACGGCUAACUACGUG